Molecule: ribosomal RNA, 870 nt
Filed under: uncultured eukaryote
Lineage: Eukaryota
Description: SSU rRNA
Rfam family: Eukaryotic small subunit ribosomal RNA
Source: RNAcentral
AGCAGCCGCGGUAAUUCCAGCUCCAAUAGCGUAUAUUAAAGUUGUUGUGGUUAAAAAGCUCGUAGUUGGAUCUCAACAGCCUUGAAGCGGUUAACUUUGUAGUUUUACUGCUUUAUAGGCUGUGCUUUUGCUGGAGGUUUAGGGGUGCUCUUGAUCGAGUGUCUCUGGAUGCCAGCAGGUUUACUUUGAAAAAAUUAGAGUGCUCAAAGCAGGCUAAAAUGCCUGAAUAUUCGUGCAUGGAAUAAUAGAAUAGGAUGUCGAUCCUAUUUUGUUGGUUUUCGGGACUCGACAUAAUGAUAAAUAGGGACAGUCGGGGGCGUUUGUAUUCAAACGACAGAGGUGAAAUUCUUGGACCGUUUGAAGACAAACUACUGCGAAAGCAUUUGCCAAGAAUGUUUUCAUUAAUCAAGAACGAAAGUUAGAGGUUCGAAGGCGAUUAGAUACCGCCCUAGUUCUAACCAUAAACGAUGCCAGCUAGCGAUCUGCCUGCGUUUUUACUGUAGACUGGGCAGGAAGCUUCCGGGAAACCAAAGCAUUUGGGUUCCAGGGGAAGUAUGGUUGCAAAGCUGAAACUUAAAGGAAUUGACGGAAGGGCACCACCAGGAGUGGAGCCUGUGGCUUAAUUUGACUCAACACGGGAAAUCUCACCAGGCCCGGACACUGGAAGGAUUGACAGAUUGAUAGCUCUUUCUUGAUUCGGUGGGUGGUGGUGCAUGGCCGUUCUUAGUUGGUGGAGUGAUUUGUCUGGUUAAUUCCGAUAACGAACGAGACUCUGUCCUGCUAAAUAGUUUCUACUUCUCUUUUGAGUAGAAAUUUCUUCUUAGAGGGACUGGUGACUCUUAGUCACACGAGAUUUGAGCAAUAACAGGU